GCGCCAGACGAUCGCAGGCGUUUUUCGCCUGAGGAAAGUCCGAGCACCGCAGGGCAGGGUGCCGGUUAACUGCCGGUGAAGGCGACUUCAAGGAAAGUGCAACAGAGAUAUACCGCGAAUCCCCUCCGGGGGACGCAAGGGUGGAAAGGCGAGGCAAGAGCUCACCCGCGGCUUGGCAACUGGUCCGCGCUGUAAACCCCACCUGGUGCAAGAUUGAUAGGGAGGCAUGGGCGCUUCGGCGCCCGGCGGCGGCCCGUCGCGCCUCCGGGUAAUCGCUUGAGCCUGCUGGCAACCGCAGGCCCAGACAGAUGAUCGUCCAAUACAGAACUCGGCUUACAGACG
RNAcentral lists this RNase P RNA (342 nucleotides) under bovine gut metagenome. Its description in RNAcentral is "Bacterial RNase P class A". It matches the Rfam family "Bacterial RNase P class A". From Rfam's summary of the family: Ribonuclease P (RNase P) is a ubiquitous endoribonuclease, found in archaea, bacteria and eukarya as well as chloroplasts and mitochondria. Its best characterised activity is the generation of mature 5'-ends of tRNAs by cleaving the 5'-leader elements of precursor-tRNAs. The record is from RNAcentral.